CAGCGCCACGAGUGGUGACCACGUUUAUUGGGCCUAAAGCGUCCGUAGCCGGUUUGGAAAAUCCUUUGUGAAAUUGUGCGGCUUAACCGUACAACGUGCAAGGGACACUACCAGACUUGAGACCGGGAGGAGUCAGAAGUAUUCCAGGGGGAGCGGUAAAAUGUUAUAAUCCCUGGAGGACUACCUGUGGCGAAGGCGUCUGACCAGAACGGAUCUGACGGUGAGGGACGAAAGCCAGGGGAGCGAACCGGAUUAGAUACCCGAGUAGUCC
RNAcentral lists this ribosomal RNA (271 nucleotides) under uncultured archaeon. RNAcentral describes it as "partial 16S ribosomal RNA". It matches the Rfam family "Archaeal small subunit ribosomal RNA", at positions 477 to 747 of the family's 1478-position model. The record is from RNAcentral.